AUGUAUUUGGAUUUAAAGGAAACAUUCUGGUGGAGAGUAAAGGCAGAGCAUCAGAAGCCAGCAGGAUUGUUACAACCAUUGCCGAUACCCGAAUGGAAGUGGGAUAAGAUAGGCAUGGAUUUUAUCACGGGAUUACCAAGGACUCGUUCAGGCUAUGCCUCGAUUUGGGUUGUAGUUGAUCGAUUGACGAAAGUAGCACAUUUCAUCCCAGUAAAGACCACUUACACCAGGGCUAAGUUGGCAAAGAUAUACAUGACUAGAAUCAUUUGUUUGCAUGGAGUUCCGAGGAGUAUUGUAUCAGAUAGAGGAACCCAAUUUACUUCAAAGUUUUGGAAUCAGUUGCAUGAAACUUUAGGAACCAGACUGGAGUUCAGCACAGCUUUUCACCCACAGACGGAUGGACAGACCGAGAGAGUGAAUCAGAUUUUGGAGGAUAUGCUGAGAGCUUGUGCACUAGAUUAUGGAUCUAGUUGGGACGAUAACUUGCCGUAUGCGGAGUUUUCUUAUAACAACAGUUACCAAACCAGUUUGAAGACGGCACCUUUCGAAGCUUUAUACGGAAGGAGGUGCAGAAACCGUUGUCAUGGGACGAAGUUGGAGACUGUCAAUUCUUUGGACCAGAUUUGA
Molecule: ribosomal RNA, 627 nt
Filed under: Triticum aestivum (bread wheat)
Lineage: Eukaryota; Viridiplantae; Streptophyta; Magnoliopsida; Poales; Poaceae
Description: partial small subunit ribosomal RNA
Source: RNAcentral